Sceloporus undulatus (fence lizard) is the source of this 1809-nucleotide RNA transcript. It is a transcript of the gene named neuralized E3 ubiquitin protein ligase 3, with no coding region annotated. The record is from RefSeq and is a predicted model, not a curated record. NCBI's taxonomy places the organism in Eukaryota, Metazoa, Chordata, Lepidosauria, Squamata, Phrynosomatidae. The transcript is spliced from 5 exons.
AACAGGUCCUUGCCACAGAGUGGUAUGCGCUCCUUCCCAACCCAGGCUGAGAAGAAUCAGAAUUAUAUUGGGCCAAGAUUUGAGAAGGAUCAGCCGGGAACAGACAAUGGGGGCUUGCCUUAGUCCAGCAGAUGACUCUGAUGUUUCGGGCCGCCGGACCUCUGCUCCGCUCUUCUUCCAUCCUUAUGUCAAAGGGUCCCAGAUUGUGAUGGACGAGUCGCACUCUAUCGCCAGCCGAGUAGCCACUUUCUGCAACGGCCUUGUCUUUUCCAACCGACCCGUGGAGCCUUAUGAGAAGGUGACCCUGAAGAUCUCCAAGGAAGAUGGAAAAUGGCACGGCGGCUUGAGGGUGGGCUUUACUUGGGAAGACCCUUCCCUCUGGGAGCCCAGGGAGCUGCCUCCGUUCGCUUGCCCAAACCUGGUCAACCAAGGAAAGACUCGAGCCUGCGUCUUGCCAGACGAAUACUGCGAGGAAGGCACCAUCGUCAGUUAUUGGGUGGACAACCAAGGCUGCGUUUUCUGCAGCAUCAAUGGGGAGCCAGAGGACAUCUUGCUCUUAGACGGUGUCUUGGUGACGUCUCCGCUUUGGGCCGUGAUGGACAUUUAUGGCAGGACCAAAGAGGUCCAGCUGCUGGAUCCCUCAAACCUACCCACAAAUAAUAACGUCCACAGCCCACUGCUGUUGGCCCACGAUGACCAGAUUGAGUCAAACCGGCAUGACUCCCACAGCCUCCUUGAAGGCCCAACCGGUGAUGAAUGCGCCGUGUGCUUUGGGCACAAGGCCAACACCAUGAUGCUGCCUUGCUCCCAUGCCAACUUCUGCGCCUGCUGCUCCUUGAAGAUCUUGAAAACCAGCGGCUGUUGCCCGUUGUGUCGGACAAAGGUAAAGAAAAUCCUUCACGUCUCUGGGUCGGCCGAAAGAGAGGGAAUGGAAGAUCAGUCGGACAAUGCAAAGGACAUCCAACCUCUUCGGUGACAAAACUGACCCUGCAAAAACACUUGGAAAUAUUUGCACUCUUGACGGGAGUGCGGAGGAACUGAAAAGGUGGAGAAAAGAUCAAGGUUAACACAGACCUCGCCUGGAACAUCAGAUGCAGAGAUGAAGGAUUACAAAGCACAAAAAGCAAUGACGGUAUCUUGAAGCACGUUCUCAUUCGGGCAAUUAUUGGAGACAUAACUAUAGUCACAAUAGCUCACAUUGUUCAUUCUGUCGGAGGAGGACUCUCUGAGGUCAAGAGGUACAACAGGAAACGUUGAUUUAAACAGACAAGCGCAGAUGAGAUAAAAGCAGGGAAAGCCCCUCUAUCAAUGGAGUUCUUUGGCCAAAAGGCUCAGCGGGGCAACAUUAGAUGAGAUAAGCAUCAUGAAACAGAGGAGGAAAUGCUCUCCUUGUAACAUUUCAAGGAAGCUGAUCAGAGUGGUGGCAAACUACAAGGGACAAAAAUACAACUUCAGUUAAGAUCCUAAUGAGAUAAACUUCACACACUAAUAUUAGUCCCAUUCACUUGUUAACAGAGAUUUUUGGCACUCAAUAAAGCUGGCUAUUUUUAAUCAGCAAAAGACUACAGGAGACUGAGUUUGUGUUAAACAAUUGGGAAACAUCCCAGCUCCACUUCCCAAUGCAGGAAAGCCUUCCCGCCUCAUCUGGCAAACAACUCACUCCUUUGCAAAUCCAACACGUUUUACAUGCAGCAGUUAUUGAACAAAACCAGCCCCUCUGAAAUGUUUGGGGGACCUGGUUGUUCCAUCAGAGGCUUUUAGGGGGAGGAGGAAGGGGAAGAGAAGUCCAAAGCAAGGUAGAGUGCAGAU